Erinaceus europaeus (western European hedgehog) is the source of this 443-nucleotide long non-coding RNA. RefSeq lists it as uncharacterized. Lineage: Eukaryota; Metazoa; Chordata; Mammalia; Eulipotyphla; Erinaceidae. The transcript is spliced from 2 exons. The record is from RefSeq and is a predicted model, not a curated record.
UGCUGGUGGGUCAACCCGAUGCAAGUUAUGAGAAGAAGCUGCAGCAAGAACCUGUCUGUCUUCAAAUUAACUCCACCAAGUUGCAGAUGCUACCAUGACCAACCUGACUUCACUGGACAGAGGACUUCGCCAAUGUAGCCUGGAACCCCACCUCUCCAGAGCCCGGCCCCACUAGGGAAAGAGAGAGGCAGGCUGGGAAUAUGGAUCCACCUGCCAACGUCCAUGUUCAGCAGGGAAGCAAUUACAGAAGCCAGACCUUCCACCUUCUGCAUCCCACAAUGACCCUGGGUCCAUACUCCCAGAGGGAUAGAGAAUGGGAAAGCUAUCAGGGGAGGGGAUGGGAUACAGAGUUCUGGUGGUGGGAAUUGUGUGGAGUUGUACCCCUCUUAUCCUAUGGUCUUGUCGAUAAUUAUUAAAUCAAUAAAAAAAGAGAGAGACUCUAA